CUGAGAGGUGGUGCAUGGCCGUCGUUCAGUUCGUACUGUGAAGCAUCCUGUUAAGUCAGGCAACGAGCGAGACCCACGUCCACAGUUGCCAGCAUACCCUCCGGGGUGAUGGGUACACUGUGGAGACGCCGCUGCUAAAGCGGAGGAAGGAGUGGGCAACGGUAGGUCAGUAUGCCCCGAAUCUCCCGGGCUACACGCGGGCUACAAUGGUUGGUACAAUGGGCAUCUACCCCGAAAGGGGAAGGAAAUCUCUUAAAGCCAAUCCGUAGUUCGGAUUGAGGGCUGCAACUCGCCCUCAUGAAGCUGGAAUCCGUAGUAAUCGCGUUUCAACAGAACGCGGUGAAUACGUCCCUGCUCCUU
RNAcentral lists this ribosomal RNA (360 nucleotides) under uncultured Methanosaeta sp. Its description in RNAcentral is "bacterial SSU rRNA". It matches the Rfam family "Archaeal small subunit ribosomal RNA", at positions 980 to 1338 of the family's 1478-position model. Lineage: Archaea; Methanobacteriati; Methanobacteriota; Methanomicrobia; Methanotrichales; Methanotrichaceae. The record is from RNAcentral.